Molecule: ribosomal RNA, 1525 nt
Filed under: Sunxiuqinia sp.
Lineage: Bacteria; Pseudomonadati; Bacteroidota; Bacteroidia; Marinilabiliales; Prolixibacteraceae
Description: bacterial SSU rRNA
Rfam family: Bacterial small subunit ribosomal RNA
Source: RNAcentral
GUUUUUGAUCUUGGCUCAGGAUGAACGCUAGCGGGAGGCCUAACACAUGCAAGUCGAACGGGAUUCAGUAGCUUGCUACUGAUGAGAGUGGCGCACGGGUGAGUAACGCGUAUGCAACCUACCUCUUACAGGGGGAUAGCCCGGAGAAAUCCGGAUUAAUAUCCCAUGGUAUUUAUUGUCCGCAAGGAUAAUAAAUUAAAGAUUUAUCGGUAAGAGAUGGGCAUGCGUGACAUUAGUUUGUUGGUGAGGUAACGGCUCACCAAGACUACGAUGUCUAGGGGUUCUGAGAGGAUGAUCCCCCACACUGGUACUGAGACACGGACCAGACUCCUACGGGGAGGCAGCAGUGAGGAAUAUUGGUCAAUGGGCGCAAGCCUGAACCAGCCAUCCCGCGUGAAAGGAAGACGGCCCCUAUGGGUUGUAAACUUCUUUUUCUGCACCAAGAAUUGGCCUUACGUGUAAGGUUUUGACGGUAGUGCAGGAAUAAGCAUCGGCUAACUCCGUGCCAGCAGCCGCGGUAAUACGGAGGAUGCAAGCGUUAUCCGGAUUCAUUGGGUUUAAAGGGUACGUAGGUGGCCCAGUAAGUCAGUGGUGAAAUCCUGCCGCUUAACGGUAGAACUGCCAUUGAUACUGCUGGGCUUGAGUACAGUUGAGGUAGGCGGAAUGUGUAGUGUAGCGGUGAAAUGCUUAGAUAUUACACAGAACCCCGAUUGCGAAGGCAGCUUACUAAACUGUAACUGACACUGAGGUACGAAAGCGUGGGGAGCGAACAGGAUUAGAUACCCUGGUAGUCCACGCCGUAAACGAUGCUCACUCGCUGUAUGCGAUACACAGUAUGCGGCCAAGCGAAAGUAUUAAGUGAGCCACCUGGGGAGUACGUUGGCAACAGUGAAACUCAAAGGAAUUGACGGGGGCCCGCACAAGCGGAGGAACAUGUGGUUUAAUUCGAUGAUACGCGAGGAACCUUACCUGGGCUUAAAUGCAGGACGACAGGCGUCGAAAGAUGCUUUUCUUCGGACGGCUUGCAAGGUGCUGCAUGGUUGUCGUCAGCUCGUGCCGUGAGGUGUCGGGUUAAGUCCCAUAACGAGCGCAACCCUUACCGUUAGUUACCAUCAGGUCAAGCUGGGGGACUCUAGCGGGACUGCCACCCGUAAGGUGAGAGGAAAGGUGGGGAUGACGUCAAAUCAGCACGGCCCUUAUGUCCAGGGCUACACACGUGUUACAAUGGCCAGUACAAAGGGCAGCUACCAGGCGACUGGAUGCUAAUCUCUAAAGCUGGUCUCAGUUCGGAUCGAAGUCUGCAACCCGACUUCGUGAAGCUGGAUUCGCUAGUAAUCGCGCAUCAGCCAUGGCGCGGUGAAUACGUUCCCGGGCCUUGUACACACCGCCCGUCAAACCAUGGAAGCUGGGGGUACCUGAAGUCUGUGACCGCAAGGAGCGGCCUAGGGUAAAACUAGUGACUGGGGUUAAGUCGUAACAAGGUAGCCGUACCGGAAGGUGUGGCUGACCCCCCCUCCUAAACCAA